AAAUUGAAGAGUUUGAUCAUGGCUCAGAUUGAACGCUGGCGGCAGGCCUAACACAUGCAAGUCGAACGGUAACAGAAAGCAGCUUGCUGCUUUGCUGACGAGUGGCGGACGGGUGAGUAAUGUCUGGGAAACUGCCUGAUGGAGGGGGAUAACUACUGGAAACGGUAGCUAA
RNAcentral lists this ribosomal RNA (172 nucleotides) under Escherichia coli. RNAcentral's name for it is "partial 16S ribosomal RNA". It matches the Rfam family "Bacterial small subunit ribosomal RNA", at positions 1 to 166 of the family's 1533-position model. Lineage: Bacteria; Pseudomonadati; Pseudomonadota; Gammaproteobacteria; Enterobacterales; Enterobacteriaceae. The record is from RNAcentral.